RNAcentral lists this long non-coding RNA (3840 nucleotides) under Homo sapiens (human). RNAcentral describes it as "HSALNT0189402". Lineage: Eukaryota; Metazoa; Chordata; Mammalia; Primates; Hominidae. The record is from RNAcentral.
UGGGGAUGGGGAUGGAUAAUGGGAAGAUGGAAGGCUUGAGACCUCUUUCCUGGCUAUCUCCUUUACUCACUCCUUUCAUGGAUUGAAUUAUUCAUUUUAAAGCUAAAAAAUCUUCAACAAAUUAUCUAGUCUAGACUUUCACCUUCAAAGGGUUCGAUAUUACUUCCCCAUUUCACAGAUGAGGCUACACAAGUUAACCAACUUGAUCGAGAUCUCCCAGGCAGAACAGGUUGAAAAGGGCAUGAGGAAGAAGGUCUUUCGCCCUGGGUAGGGGAGAUGGGGGUUAAUCUCUCUCUAUGCAAUCAGGCUCUAAAAUUGGCUGCUUCCCGGAACAGAAACGGCAGGAGUUGGCAUCAGAAUGCAGCAACUUGAUUCCUGGCUACUUACCAGUUCCGUGACCUGAGUUGUCUUUCAGGAGGUGUAGCCUGGUUGUGGCCUGGGGAGUUUGGCUGUUCUGUGUGGUGUGCCUCCACGGUGUGGUCUCCAGUGAGCUGCUCAGCAGGUGUAGACCCGGGCAGGGCGAAGCUCUCUGGGCUGUUGACUGUGAGGCCCCUCCCCACCGGUAGAUUUCCAAGCCUCUUCAGUUUUGCAUUCAGCCACAGCAGAAUCCGAAUGAAUACUGAGUGCUAAAGGAAGAUUUUUAGGUUGAAUGAAAAGGAUAUUGAAUAGAAACUUGGACUUAUAAGAGUUUCAGAAAUGGUAAACUCCUCCAGGGCAGGACCUGACUCUUCAGAGGAAUUUUUUAAUCCCCCUCCCCAGAAGUGCCCACGUCAAGGCCAUAGUAGAGAAGGAGCUCAAGAGCAAUCCCUAAGCAACCACGCUUGGAAGCAUCCUGCAACAGAGGGAUUUGUUCCAGACUCAGAUUUAAUCCACUAUUACCUUUUCGUAAGACAAGUGUUGUCUGAAGGAGUCUGUGUGUAAUUUUGAGACAAAAGGAUUGCAGAACUCAGCUCCCAGGUUGUCUCAUAUCUGAUUCUUCGAAAGAGGAAAAGAAGCGAACUCUUCUGCACAAUAGCUGAGCAGAUAGGAGAGAAAAAGCUUGAAGAUUCACAGUGGAGCAAGGCUAAUUGGAGCCUUCCUCAGAGCAGCUCAACUAUCCCAGUUUUACCUAUCCCAUUCCUUGCCAUUCCCACUUGUAAUUCUGUCUUGGCAAGAACACCAUACUGAAGGUUCUUAAAGCAGUUUGUAGACUUUAAUUAGUUCUGUGGAAAGUCAGUCAAAGCUCAGCCUUCAUUCUGCCAACAGAGACAACAGUGGUGGGUGUGGAAGGAAGGCAAGAAGAAGAUGGACACCCAGAGCAGUUGUGCAACUUACUGAAGGCCAUGUGGAUAGGAGGAACUGGGUUUAAAACCCCUGAGUCUUGAUAAAAGUGUCUUAGCCUUCUAGAUUCCUAAACAGGUAGUGGGCUCAUCCUACUAACCUACUUUGCUAGGGUGUUGUUGAUGAAUGCUUAUAAACCCUGUCCUAGAUGAUAGGUUUGGAAGAUUGUUAAAGAAAGCAUGUCAUUAAGUCCCUACUCACCCCCUCCUUGACAAAUAGCCCUGGAGGGAAAUGAAUAUUAGCCAGAAUCGUAGGGCCUCCACUUCAAUGGAAUGAACUGAGAUUCAACAACAAGAGAAAUGUUCCAACAGUGAGGGAAAUCAACAAUGUGCUGGGGGUGAAGGGUAGGGGUUGGGAAGGCCUAAACAGGUGACCAUUGCCAGACAGCCCAGACAAGAUCAUCACAGAAUAGCUGAUUCCCAUUAGACACUGUGGGUGAUCAUUAUCUUAAAAUUCAGGACACUAUUUUUGUAGUAGUUUCCCUUCCUCUCUUUGUAAGAGCAGAAGACCUCUCUGGGGCCUAUCACAAGACAAGCGGGUGUUUGCAAAUGAGGGACGUACUUUGAGACUGAAUUGCUCUGUGCUUCUCUAAAAGACAUGGUUAAGAGUUUGGGCGCUGAUGUUAGAGACUGAGAUUAAAAUCCUUCCUUGCCACUUCCAUCAGUAUAAAUUUGGAUAAGUUUCUUAACUUCUCUAAGCCUUGAUUUUCUCACCUAUAAAAUGGGCCUAAUAAUAGUGCCUAACUUAGAGGUUUGUUGUAAAGGUUAAAUGCAAUUAUUCAGGUAAAGCCUUAAUGGAGCCUGAUAUGUAGUAAGCACUCAAUCCAUUUUAUCUACUGACUCUUUUCUCUGUGUGGGUUACCCACUUUGGAGAUUGUCCCCAGUAAUUUCUUUGGUCAAGUCUUGAUCUCCCUGGCCCCUUGGCUGUCUUCUCCCACCAUGAUCAGUGAGAAGUUGAGGAGCACUAAUACCAAAUUCUUUUUCAUGUUAGUUAGGAGAAAGCAGAAUUACGAAGGUCAACCUGCUGGUGUAAAAAAAUAUUACAUAGAUUAGCCCUGCUCUACAUAUUAGAUAUGUUCUCAAAAUGCCUAAGUGGCCUUUUUUUUUUUUUUUAAUUUAAGUUCUAGGGUACAUGUGCACAACGUGCAGGUUUGUUACAUGUGUAUACAUGUGCCAUGUUGGUGUGUGGCACCCAUUAACUUGUCAUUUACAUUAGGUAUAUCUCCUAAUGCUAUCCCUCCCACCCCCACCCCCUGGCAGGCCCUGGUGUGUGAUGUUCCCCACCCUGUGUCCAUGUGUUCUCGUUGUUCAAUUCCCACCUAUGAGUGAGAACACACGUGUUUGGGUUUUUGUCCUUGCGAUACUUUGCCAAGAAUGAUGGUUUCCAGCUUCAUCCAUGUCCCUACAAAGGACAUGAACUCAUCAUUUUUAUGGCUGCAUAGUAUUCCAUGGUGUAUAUGUGCCACAUUUUCUUAAUCCAGUCUAUCAUUGAUGGACAUUUGGGUUGGUUCCAAGUCUUUGCUAUUAUGAAUAGUGCCACAAUAAACGUAUGUGUACCUGUGUCUUUAUAACAGCAUGAUUUAUAAUCCUUUGGGUAUGUGCCCAGUAAUGGGAUGGCUGGGUCAAAUGGUAUUUCUAGUUCUAGAUCCUUGAGGAAUUGCCUAAGUGGCCAUGUUUAUAUUGGGUAAUCUUUAAAUGACUUUAUUUGCAAGUCUGAGUAAUAUACUCAUAGAAACAAGAAUCACAGUUAAGGGAAGGGAAACUAAUAUUUGAGCUUGAGACACUUUCCAUAUCCAAGUCCAAUUGAAUCCUCCCAAUCACCCAAUAAAGAGAUCUUAUUAUUCCCAUUUUAUAUGUUAAACAACCAAAACUCAGAGAGGUUAAUUAAUACUCUCAAAAUCACUCUUCUAGGGGUGGUGGAGCCUAAGUUUGAAUGCAGCUCUGGCUCCCAAACCUGUCCAUUUUCUACUAUGUCAUGCUCAAAGGCAUAUUCUGCUUUUGUCCAUUGUCAGCCUAUGUGCAUUUAAGUUUCCCACACAAAUUCAAGAAGAAUUUUAUCCAUCAAUUCACAUGACCUUGAGUAUUAAUUUAGUUUAAAAAUCUUUCCCCUUAUGAUUUAAAAAAUAUUCACUUUAAGAAAUUAUCUGCCAUGUGCAGGAUUAUCAUAGGAUUAAAAAAAAAAAAGAAAUUAGCAGCCGGUUGUGGUGGUUCAUGCCUGUAAUCCCAGCACUUUGGGAGACUGAGGUGGGAGCAUUGCUUGAGGCCAGGAGUUCAAGACCAGCCUGGGUAGCAUAGUGAGACUCUGCCUCUACAAAAAAUUAAAAAUUAGCCAAGCAUGGUGACACACGCCUGUAGUCCCAGCUACUCAGGAGGCUGAGGCAAGAAGAUUACUUGAGCCCAGAAGGUUGAGGCUGCAGUGAGCUAUGACCACUACAUUCCAAUCUGGGUGAGGGGUGAGAGAAGAAAGAAAGAUAAAGAAGGAAAGAAAGAAAGUAAGAAAGAGAAGGAAAAAGGAGAAGGA